Molecule: ribosomal RNA, 531 nt
Filed under: Antillopsyche demma
Lineage: Eukaryota; Metazoa; Arthropoda; Insecta; Trichoptera; Polycentropodidae
Description: bacterial SSU rRNA
Rfam family: Eukaryotic small subunit ribosomal RNA
Source: RNAcentral
UUGACAUUGUGUCCUGCGGCGUCGGUCUACCGAUCGCGGUACGACAGGCGCGUCUGCGGGGCUUCUCGCCGGUGCGUGUUCAUCGCCGGCGCGUCGGCGGCGUUAUCGGCGUUAAUCGUCGUUGCGUCGUUCGACGUCGAGGCGGGCCCUCGCGGCUGUUUACUUUGAACAAAUUAGAGUGCUCAAAGCGGGCUAACAUUUGCCUGAAUAUUGUGCGCAUGGAAUAAUAGAAUAGGACCUCGGUUCUGUUUUGUUGGCUUUCUGAUACCAGAGGUAAUGAUUAAUAGGGACAACUGGGGGCAUUCGUAUUGCGACGUUAGAGGUGAAAUUCUUGGAUCGUCGCAAGACGGACUAAAGCGAAAGCAUUUGCCAAAGGUGUUUUCAUUAAUCAAGAACGAAAGUUAGAGGUUCGAAGGCGAUUAGAUACCGCUGUAGUUCUAACCAUAAAUGAUGCCAGCCAGCGAUCCGCCGAAGUUUUUUAUUUUGAUUCGGUGGGCAGCUCCCGGGAAACCAAAGCUUUCGGGCUCCGGG